Molecule: ribosomal RNA, 300 nt
Filed under: uncultured Bacillus sp.
Lineage: Bacteria; Bacillati; Bacillota; Bacilli; Caryophanales; Bacillaceae
Description: bacterial SSU rRNA
Rfam family: Bacterial small subunit ribosomal RNA
Source: RNAcentral
GCUAACGUCGUGGCGGGAGCCGGGGGAAGACGAAGGGGGCAGGCGUGGGUCGGAAUGAGGGGGGUGAUAGCGGGUGUCGGAGGUUGGUCAAUGCGGGUGGGAAAGGCUUGAGCCCAACUCAAGAAAGGCACUCGAUACUGUAUGACUUGAGGACCGGAGAGGAGAGUGGAAUUCCCAGUGUAGUGGUGAAAUACGUAGAGAUUGGGAAGAACACCAGUGGCGAAGGCGGCUAUCUGGACGGUUUCUGACGCUAAGACGCGAAAGCGUGGGGAGCAAACAGGAUUAGAGACCCCAGUAGUC